Molecule: ribosomal RNA, 420 nt
Filed under: uncultured prokaryote
Description: bacterial SSU rRNA
Rfam family: Bacterial small subunit ribosomal RNA
Source: RNAcentral
UGAGGAAUAUUGGUCAAUGGGGGAAACCCUGAACCAGCGACGCCGCGUGCGGGAUGAAGGGGCUUUGCCUUGUAAACCGCUGUCGGAAGGGAAGAAAAGCCGGGUCGCCCGGCUGGGACUGUACCUUCAAAGGAAGGGUCGGCUAACUACGUGCCAGCAGCCGCGGUAAUACGUAGGACCCAAGCGUUGUCCGGAAUUACUGGGUGUAAAGGGUGCGCAGGCGGGCUUGUGCGUCAGAGGUUAAAUCUCCCGGCUCAACCGGGAACAUGCCUUUGAUACGGCAAGUCUUGAAUACGAGAGAGGAUGGUAGAAUUCCUGGUGUAGCGGUGAAAUGCGUAGAUAUCAGGAGGAAUACCAGUGGCGAAGGCGGCCAUCUGGCUCGUUAUUGACGCUCAGGCACGAAAGCGUGGGGAGCAAACA